RNAcentral lists this ribosomal RNA (274 nucleotides) under uncultured bacterium. RNAcentral's name for it is "partial 16S ribosomal RNA". It matches the Rfam family "Bacterial small subunit ribosomal RNA", at positions 523 to 796 of the family's 1533-position model. The record is from RNAcentral.
ACACGGAGGGUGCAAGCGUUAUUCGGAAUCACUGGGCGUAAAGGACGCGUAGGCGGGUUGGCAAGUCAGAUGUGAAAUCCUACAGCUUAACUGUAGAACUGCAUUUGAAACUGCUAACCUAGAGUAUGGGAGGGGGAGAUGGAAUUAGUGGUGUAGGGGUAAAAUCCGUAGAUAUCACUAGGAAUACCGAAAGCGAAGGCGAUCUCCUGGAACAUAACUGACGCUAAGGCGUGAAAGCGUGGGGAGCAAACAGGAUUAGAUACCCCAGUAGUCC